UAGAGGAAGUUAAAGUCGUAACAAGGUUUCCGUAGGUGAACCUGCGGAAGGAUCAUUACACUCAGUAGUUUACUACUGUAAAAGGGGCUGUUAGUCUGUAUAGCGCAAGCUGAUGAGCAGCUGGCCUCUUUUAUCCACCCUUGUCUUUUGCGUACCCACGUUUCCUCGGCAGGCUUGCCUGCCGGUUGGACAAAUUUAUAACCUUUUUAAUUUUCAAUCAGCGUCUGAAAAACUUAAUAAUUACAACUUUCAACAACGGAUCUCUUGGUUCUGGCAUCGAUGAAGAACGCAGCGAAAUGCGAUAAGUAGUGUGAAUUGCAGAAUUCAGUGAAUCAUCGAAUCUUUGAACGCACAUUGCGCCCCUUGGUAUUCCAUGGGGCAUGCCUGUUCGAGCGUCAUUUGUACCCUCAAGCUCUGCUUGGUGUUGGGUGUUUGUCCUCUCCCUAGUGUUUGGACUCGCCUUAAAAUAAUUGGCAGCCAGUGUUUUGGUAUUGAAGCGCAGCACAAGUCGCGAUUCGUAACAAACACUUGCGUCCACAAGCCUUUUUAACUUUUGACCUCGGAUCAGGUAGGGAUACCCGCUGAACUUAAGCAUAUC
Molecule: ribosomal RNA, 598 nt
Filed under: Parastagonospora nodorum
Lineage: Eukaryota; Fungi; Ascomycota; Dothideomycetes; Pleosporales; Phaeosphaeriaceae
Description: eukaryotic LSU rRNA
Rfam family: 5.8S ribosomal RNA (bases 245-398)
Source: RNAcentral